CCUACGGGAGGCAGCAGUGAGGAAUAUUGGUCAAUGGGCGAGAGCCUGAACCAGCCAAGUCGCGUGAGGGAGUACUGCCCUAUGGGUUGUAAACCUCUUUUGUCGGGGAGCAAAAGCCGGACGUGUCCGGCUGUGAGAGUACCCGAAGAAAAAGCAUCGGCUAAGUCCGGGCCAGCAGCCGCGGUAAUAAGGAGGAUGCGAGCGUUAUCCGUAUUUAUUGGGGUUAAAGGGGGCGCAGGCGGAUUUUUAAGUACGCGGUAAAAAGGUGGGGCUCAACCCCAUACAGCCGUUGAAACGGGUGAUCUAGAGUGUGCGAGAGGUAUGCGGAAUGCGUGGUGUAGCGGUGAAAUGCAUAGAUAUCACGCAGAACCCCGAUUGCGAAGGCAGCAUACCGGUGCACAACUGACGCUCAGGCACGAAAGCGUGGGUAUCGAACAGGAUUAGAUACCCCAGUAGUC
This 458-nucleotide ribosomal RNA is filed under the name uncultured bacterium. RNAcentral describes it as "partial 16S ribosomal RNA". It matches the Rfam family "Bacterial small subunit ribosomal RNA", at positions 338 to 795 of the family's 1533-position model. The record is from RNAcentral.